UGUGAUUCUCCAGGACAAGAAACAUCCUGGGAGAAGAAACAUCUGCUCAGUUCCUCAUUGUUCUUGGACUGACUAACAUCUUGUUUGCCAGAGAUGUACUGAACUUUCUGCAAGUCAUCUGUUACAUUUGUUUCUCCAGAUGUACUGAAUAAAAGGAGACCAGGACUAACUGCAGAGGUUCUGGUAACGUCCCCUUCCCCUGUCCCCUACAUUUGGCACCCAACGUGGAUAUGAAUCGGAUCCAGGGGUGAACUCGCCUGUGAGACAAACUUGGAGUAAGAGAGACAGCACAUGGAUCUCCCAGGACGAUUUCCGGACUAGGACGAGGGACACCGGUGAUAAUGAAAACAUCUUGUGGCUGUCCUCCUGGAAUGUGAGACUGUGGGUCACGCUGGUGGAACUGCCAACAUCUCACAGAAUCAGUGAUAGCACCCUGGCUGAAAGCGAUGAGCCAGCUGCACCUCAGGGACCCACCUCACCAGCGACAACCAACAAAUCCAUGGCAGGGUCCAGGACUGAGAUGAUGCCCCCAGAGGAAUGAUAAUUAUACAUUUAUGGUAAAAAAUUUAUGAAGGUGGGGGACAACUUCAAAAUGCUCCUUUUAUAUUUACAGGUAUAAAAGCACUUUCAUUCCUUCUGAUUCUAAUCUCGAGAUCUCUGUUAAUUGACUAUUCCAAAGUUUUUGACCAGUCAUACAAUUAUAAAUCUAAUAAUCAUAAAAAGGAUAUUACGAUUCAAUUUGGCUAAAUAUAUUUGAGUGCACUCUAAUUUUGUAAAUUGUCUUAUAU
This 788-nucleotide long non-coding RNA is filed under the name Heterocephalus glaber (naked mole-rat). RNAcentral's name for it is "lncRNA (ENSHGLG00000043914.1)". The record is from RNAcentral. Lineage: Eukaryota; Metazoa; Chordata; Mammalia; Rodentia; Bathyergidae.